Molecule: transfer RNA, 82 nt
Filed under: Prevotella sp.
Lineage: Bacteria; Pseudomonadati; Bacteroidota; Bacteroidia; Bacteroidales; Prevotellaceae
Description: tRNA-Leu
Rfam family: tRNA
About the family: Transfer RNA (tRNA) molecules are approximately 80 nucleotides in length. Their secondary structure includes four short double-helical elements and three loops (D, anti-codon, and T loops). Further hydrogen bonds mediate the characteristic L-shaped molecular structure. tRNAs have two regions of fundamental functional importance: the anti-codon, which is responsible for specific mRNA codon recognition, and the 3' end, to which the tRNAs corresponding amino acid is attached (by aminoacyl-tRNA synthetases). tRNAs cope with the degeneracy of the genetic code in two manners: having more than one tRNA (with a specific anti-codon) for a particular amino acid; and 'wobble' base-pairing, i.e. permitting non-standard base-pairing at the 3rd anti-codon position.
Source: RNAcentral
GCUGAUAUGGUGGAAUGGCAGACACAACGGACUUAAAAUCCGUCGAGUAAUCAUGUGAGUUCAAGUCUCACUAUCAGCACCA